GUGAGGAAUAUUGGACAAUGGGCGCAAGCCUGAUCCAGCCAUGCCGCGUGCAGGAAGACGCAUCUAUGGUGUGUAAACUGCUUUUGUACGGGAAGAAACACUCCCUCGUGAGGGAGCUUGACGGUACCGUAAGAAUAAGGAUCGGCUAACUCCGUGCCAGCAGCCGCGGUAAUACGGAGGAUCCAAGCGUUAUCCGGAAUCAUUGGGUUUAAAAGGUCCGUAGGCGGUUUAAUAAGUCAGUGGUGAAAGCCCAUCGCUCAACGAUGGAACGGCCAUUGAUACUGUUAGACUUGAAUUACAAGGAAGUAACUAGAAUAUGUAGUGUAGCGGUGAAAUGCUUAGAUAUUACAUGGAAUACCAAUUGCGAAGGCAGGUUACUACUUGUGGAUUGACGCUGAUGGACGAAAGCGUGGGGAGCGAACAGGAUUAGAAACCCGGGUAGUCC
RNAcentral lists this ribosomal RNA (445 nucleotides) under uncultured bacterium. RNAcentral describes it as "partial 16S ribosomal RNA". It matches the Rfam family "Bacterial small subunit ribosomal RNA", at positions 354 to 796 of the family's 1533-position model. The record is from RNAcentral.